Non-coding RNA from Danio rerio (zebrafish), 876 nucleotides. Lineage: Eukaryota; Metazoa; Chordata; Actinopteri; Cypriniformes; Danionidae. The record is from Ensembl.
CUUGAAGCUUGGCGUAAUUGCAAUAAUAGAGGCUUCAGUGACACACUGAUAGGAGUCCGGCUUUCUACAGGAAUAUCCUCCCCAUUGGCUCGACGUACACGUUAAAAGGGAAUUGCACUUUCCCAGGUUAUUCCAAGCCUGAAGAAAGGAAUGUAGAGCACACGGCAUGACACUGAGCUGUGACAGACUCAAGUGACUGUAAGUACACCACUGAUUUAACCUUAUUAUUGCCUAUAAAAGAAAUAUAAGAAAUGUGAAUUUGUAGUGCAUGAAAUGUAUAGAAUAGCCUAAAAAUGUCUAUAUUCUCAUGAAGUACCUGACAAAAGAGAAAAAAAAAAGGUGAAAGGCAUACAGACAGAGCAAACAACAUAAGUAAAUAUUAUAAUGUGGGAGGCUACAAGCUUUUGUCCACGAACACUUUUCAUUUUUUUGUUCUCCCAGAAGUCCUCUUUUCAUAACCUGUAAUUUUAGCCUUAUAGACAGCAGAUGCUUCACUGUCCUCUCGCUUGUGUGACUCCAAAAGUUUAUUGUCAGUGUGGGCUCACCUGGUACAAAAGCAUACGAGCACAUGCUGAAUGGAACAGAAACCUGGGGGGAGGGUUUACAAAAACAACUAACAUCAGAAAUAGAACAUGAUAAAUAUUGCAAGUUAGUCAUGCCUGAAAUGAUUGUUAUUAAUAGCCCACUCAUUUUGCACUUUGCACACGAGUCAUGUCAAUUAUUUCUUACACUCGCUACGUAAGAGUCAUUUCAAAGAGGAUUUAGAACAAAAGCGUACUUUGUUGUUUAGCUUACUCAUUUAGUUCUUUAAAAAUGCAUGUCUCGGCUGAUUUGAAUCUACUCGUGGGUUCUGUUUGAAUAUUCAAAUAAAUUUAG